Molecule: non-coding RNA, 217 nt
Filed under: Luteibacter sp.
Lineage: Bacteria; Pseudomonadati; Pseudomonadota; Gammaproteobacteria; Lysobacterales; Rhodanobacteraceae
Source: RNAcentral
AACCUCUGGGCCGCCAGCGGUCUUUAUCUCUCUAUUCGAAUAGAAGGAUAAAAGCUAAGAGGGAAGCCGGUGAGAAUCCGGCGCUGCCCCGCAGCGGUAUGUGGAGACGAGCGCGUCAUCAGCACUGGAUCGAUGGCGAUCCGGGAAGCGACACGCAAGGCGGCACCCAGGUGCCACAUCCACGAGCCCGAAGACCUGCCGCCGGCCUGGGCGCGCG